AACACAUGCAAGUCGAACGCGAAAGGGACGUCGGUCCGUGAGUAAAGUAGGCGCACGGGUGAGUAACGCGUAGAUAACCUGUCUUCAUGUCUGGAAUAAUACGCCGAAAGGGGUACUAAUACCGGAUAUUCUUGCUUUUCAUAAGUUAUGCAAGCAAAGGUGGCCUCUGCAUAUGCUACUGCAUGAAGAGGGGUCUGCGUACCAUUAGCUAGUAGGUGGGGUAAUGGCCUACCUAGGCGACGAUGGUUAGCGGGUCUGAGAGGAUGAUCCGCCACACUGGCACUGGAACACGGGCCAGACUCCUACGGGAGGCAGCAGUGAGGAAUAUUGCGCAAUGGGGGAAACCCUGACGCAGCGACGCCGCGUGAAGUGAGGAAGGCCUUCGGGUCGUAAAGCUCUGUCAAGAGGAAAGAAGUGUACAAUGGCUAAUACCUGUUGUAUUUGACGGUACCUCUAAAGGAAGCACCGGCUAACUCCGUGCCAGCCGCAGC
RNAcentral lists this ribosomal RNA (491 nucleotides) under uncultured bacterium. RNAcentral describes it as "bacterial SSU rRNA". It matches the Rfam family "Bacterial small subunit ribosomal RNA", at positions 50 to 518 of the family's 1533-position model. The record is from RNAcentral.